UUGUUGAGUACUUGACCAAAAUUCUGGCCAAAUCCUUUACUGUAGCUAGGAUUAGCUCUGUCCUUUGAAAUCCCUGAAAACAUCAUCCGCCGUGGCUUCUCCUCCUCCUUCCAUUUGCAUUUCCUUCCUUUCGACAUUAGUCAAAAUGGGAGCACCGUUUUCUUUGACAUGCAGGUUUAUAUUUUAUUAGUUUGUUUGGUUUUGCUGUUGCUGGCCGUAGAGGAGGAGGAUGAUAGACGAGGGAUUUUUCGAUAGGCUUGCUUUGAGUCAGAAAGCGGAUUUGGAUCUGGGUUUGUUGAUCGGGUUAACUAUAUUUGAGAGAAGGGUUUGCUGUGUUCUUGGAACCCAUACUACUUUAAUGGCUGAAUUGAAGUUGAAGGUGUUCAAAUACCAGCAUUAAUCCAAACAAUCAUCGCUUCUAAAUCAGCCUUUUUCUCUUAGGCUUUUUGCCGCAUCAUAAUUGGUAAAUAAACUGAUAAUCCCUGUUUACGUAUUGUGUUCAAGCUGUUAUUAACUAGAAAUUUUAGUCCAUUAAUUUAACUUCUGCAAAUUUAAGCUAUAUAUAUAUAUAUAUAAGGUAUAUUGAGAGUUGACAUAUUGAAUUCAAGCUCAAAUGUACGGCAAGGCAUGCAGUUAAUAAUUUUGACCAAUAUUGUUGGUGGUUUUGUAACAAUCUGUGAUGACAGUCCAAAUAUAAUUAAACAGAGCCAAGGAUGACUUCCCAGAGGAACAGAGCAGCCGUAUUUUCAUCGCAGCAUCAUCGAAUACAGACUGCGUGGACAAGAAUCAGUUCGCUCGACUAUUGGAAGAGAGCAGGAUAUGACCAGCAUGACCCGGCAUGGCUUCACCAGUAU
RNAcentral lists this long non-coding RNA (854 nucleotides) under Gossypium raimondii (Peruvian cotton). RNAcentral's name for it is "long non-coding RNA (GRAI_LNC006956)". Lineage: Eukaryota; Viridiplantae; Streptophyta; Magnoliopsida; Malvales; Malvaceae. The record is from RNAcentral.